This 550-nucleotide ribosomal RNA is filed under the name uncultured bacterium. Its description in RNAcentral is "bacterial SSU rRNA". It matches the Rfam family "Bacterial small subunit ribosomal RNA", at positions 772 to 1324 of the family's 1533-position model. The record is from RNAcentral.
ACUCAAUAGAUACCCGGGUAGUCCACGCCCUAAACGAUGUCAACUAGGUGUUGGAGGAGCAAUCCUUUGGUACCGCAGCUAAACGCGUGAAGUUGACCGCCUGGGGAGUACGGUCGCAAGAUUAAAACUCAAAGGAAUUGACGGGGACCCGCACAAGCGGUGGAUGAUGUGGAUUAAAUUCGAUGCAACGCGAACAACCUUACCUACCCUUGACAUGUCUGGAAUCCUGCUGAAAGGCGGGAGUGCCCGAAAGGGAACCGGAACACAGGUGCUGCAUGGCUGUCGUCAGCUCGUGUCGUGAGAUGUUGGGUUAAGUCCCGCAACGGGCGCAACCCUUGUCCUUAGUUGCUACGCAAGGGCACUCUAAGGAGACUGCCGGUGACAAACCGGAGGAAGGUGGGGAUGGCGUCAAGUCCUCAUGGCCCUUAUGGGUAGGGCUUCACACGUCAUACAAUGGUCGGUACAGAGGGUUGCCAACCCGGCGAGGGGGUAGCCAAUCCCAGAAAGCCGAUCGUAGUCCGGAUCGCAGUCUGCAACUCGACUGCGUGAA